This 419-nucleotide long non-coding RNA is filed under the name Aedes aegypti (yellow fever mosquito). RNAcentral describes it as "lncRNA AAEL028114". Lineage: Eukaryota; Metazoa; Arthropoda; Insecta; Diptera; Culicidae. The record is from RNAcentral.
UGGAUAUAGCUCAAGGUAAAGCUGGAUCGGAGAUCCCUGACCAGCCUUACGGGUCGGGGAAAUGUUACGGAGUGCGCCAAUCUCUCACUUCGCAGUCUACGAGCGAGGGCCCUUUAUUCGCAGAUGACAAUUGACGUGAAGAGAAUCUAGCGUUAUUGUAUAUUUGUAGUCGUAUAUUGAUAGACGUCAAGUUCGACGAUGAUAUGCAGGAUUAGGGAUUGAUUGUCUUACUGAACAAUGUUAAAAAGAUUGUUAGAAGUUGAUUUGAGUUUUGAUCAUAUAAAUCCUAAGUUUAUUAGCCUUAAACCGAUAAUUACCACGAUUGGUAUAUUACUCCAAUUAGUUCAUGGACAGAGUGAAGUCCAAGUCUCGAUUUAGGCUGAGGUUAUAAUUGUAAGUGGAUAAAAUUAGUUGAAUUG